GGAUCCAGACUUUGAUUCUGGCUCAGGAUGAACGCUAGCUACAGGCUUAACACAUGCAAGUCGAGGGGCAGCAUGAACUUAGCUUGCUAAGUUUGAUGGCGACCGGCGCACGGGUGAGUAACACGUAUCCAACCUUCCGUUUACUCAGGGAUAGCCUUUCGAAAGAAAGAUUAAUACCUGAUAGUAUGGUGAGAUUGCAUGAUAGCACCAUUAAAGAUUUAUUGGUAAACGAUGGGGAUGCGUUCCAUUAGGUAGUAGGCGGGGUAACGGCCCACCUAGCCGACGAUGGAUAGGGGUUCUGAGAGGAAGGUCCCCCACAUUGGAACUGAGACACGGUCCAAACUCCUACGGGAGGCAGCAGUGAGGAAUAUUGGUCAAUGGGCGAGAGCCUGAACCAGCCAAGUAGCGUGAAGGAUGAAGGUCCUACGGAUUGUAAACUUCUUUUAUACGGGAAUAAAGUAUCCUACGUGUAGGAUUUUGUAUGUACCGUAUGAAUAAGCAUCGGCUAACUCCGUGCCAGCAGCCGCGGUAAUACGGAGGAUGCGAGCGUUAUCCGGAUUUAUUGGGUUUAAAGGGAGCGCAGACGGGAGAUUAAGUCAGUUGUGAAAGUUUGCGGCUCAACCGUAAAAUUGCAGUUGAUACUGGUUUCCUUGAGUGCAGUUGAGGCAGGCGGAAUUCGUGGUGUAGCGGUGAAAUGCUUAGAUAUCACGAAGAACCCCGAUUGCGAAGGCAGCUUGCUAAACUGUAACUGACGUUCAUGCUCGAAAGUGUGGGUAUCAAACAGGAUUAGAUACCCUGGUAGUCCACACGGUAAACGAUGGAUACUCGCUGUUGGCGAUAUACUGUCAGCGGCCAAGCGAAAGCAUUAAGUAUCCCACCUGGGGAGUACGCCGGCAACGGUGCAACUCAAAUGAAUUGACGG
Molecule: ribosomal RNA, 922 nt
Filed under: uncultured Bacteroidota bacterium
Lineage: Bacteria; Pseudomonadati; Bacteroidota
Description: bacterial SSU rRNA
Rfam family: Bacterial small subunit ribosomal RNA
Source: RNAcentral